This 2803-nucleotide ribosomal RNA is filed under the name Escherichia coli. RNAcentral's name for it is "bacterial LSU rRNA". It matches the Rfam family "Bacterial large subunit ribosomal RNA". Lineage: Bacteria; Pseudomonadati; Pseudomonadota; Gammaproteobacteria; Enterobacterales; Enterobacteriaceae. The record is from RNAcentral.
GGGUUGUGAGGUUAAGCGACUAAGCGUACACGGUGGAUGCCCUGGCAGUCAGAGGCGAUGAAGGACGUGCUAAUCUGCGAUAAGCGUCGGUAAGGUGAUAUGAACCGUUAUAACCGGCGAUUUCCGAAUGGGGAAACCCAGUGUGUUUCGACACACUAUCAUUAACUGAAUCCAUAGGUUAAUGAGGCGAACCGGGGGAACUGAAACAUCUAAGUACCCCGAGGAAAAGAAAUCAACCGAGAUUCCCCCAGUAGCGGCGAGCGAACGGGGAGCAGCCCAGAGCCUGAAUCAGUGUGUGUGUUAGUGGAAGCGUCUGGAAAGGCGCGCGAUACAGGGUGACAGCCCCGUACACAAAAAUGCACAUGCUGUGAGCUCGAUGAGUAGGGCGGGACACGUGGUAUCCUGUCUGAAUAUGGGGGGACCAUCCUCCAAGGCUAAAUACUCCUGACUGACCGAUAGUGAACCAGUACCGUGAGGGAAAGGCGAAAAGAACCCCGGCGAGGGGAGUGAAAAAGAACCUGAAACCGUGUACGUACAAGCAGUGGGAGCCUCUUUAUGGGGUGACUGCGUACCUUUUGUAUAAUGGGUCAGCGACUUAUAUUCUGUAGCAAGGUUAACCGAAUAGGGGAGCCGAAGGGAAACCGAGUCUUAACUGGGCGUUAAGUUGCAGGGUAUAGACCCGAAACCCGGUGAUCUAGCCAUGGGCAGGUUGAAGGUUGGGUAACACUAACUGGAGGACCGAACCGACUAAUGUUGAAAAAUUAGCGGAUGACUUGUGGCUGGGGGUGAAAGGCCAAUCAAACCGGGAGAUAGCUGGUUCUCCCCGAAAGCUAUUUAGGUAGCGCCUCGUGAAUUCAUCUCCGGGGGUAGAGCACUGUUUCGGCAAGGGGGUCAUCCCGACUUACCAACCCGAUGCAAACUGCGAAUACCGGAGAAUGUUAUCACGGGAGACACACGGCGGGUGCUAACGUCCGUCGUGAAGAGGGAAACAACCCAGACCGCCAGCUAAGGUCCCAAAGUCAUGGUUAAGUGGGAAACGAUGUGGGAAGGCCCAGACAGCCAGGAUGUUGGCUUAGAAGCAGCCAUCAUUUAAAGAAAGCGUAAUAGCUCACUGGUCGAGUCGGCCUGCGCGGAAGAUGUAACGGGGCUAAACCAUGCACCGAAGCUGCGGCAGCGACGCUUAUGCGUUGUUGGGUAGGGGAGCGUUCUGUAAGCCUGUGAAGGUGUGCUGUGAGGCAUGCUGGAGGUAUCAGAAGUGCGAAUGCUGACAUAAGUAACGAUAAAGCGGGUGAAAAGCCCGCUCGCCGGAAGACCAAGGGUUCCUGUCCAACGUUAAUCGGGGCAGGGUGAGUCGACCCCUAAGGCGAGGCCGAAAGGCGUAGUCGAUGGGAAACAGGUUAAUAUUCCUGUACUUGGUGUUACUGCGAAGGGGGGACGGAGAAGGCUAUGUUGGCCGGGCGACGGUUGUCCCGGUUUAAGCGUGUAGGCUGGUUUUCCAGGCAAAUCCGGAAAAUCAAGGCUGAGGCGUGAUGACGAGGCACUACGGUGCUGAAGCAACAAAUGCCCUGCUUCCAGGAAAAGCCUCUAAGCAUCAGGUAACAUCAAAUCGUACCCCAAACCGACACAGGUGGUCAGGUAGAGAAUACCAAGGCGCUUGAGAGAACUCGGGUGAAGGAACUAGGCAAAAUGGUGCCGUAACUUCGGGAGAAGGCACGCUGAUAUGUAGGUGAAGCGACUUGCUCGUGGAGCUGAAAUCAGUCGAAGAUACCAGCUGGCUGCAACUGUUUAUUAAAAACACAGCACUGUGCAAACACGAAAGUGGACGUAUACGGUGUGACGCCUGCCCGGUGCCGGAAGGUUAAUUGAUGGGGUUAGCGGUAACGCGAAGCUCUUGAUCGAAGCCCCGGUAAACGGCGGCCGUAACUAUAACGGUCCUAAGGUAGCGAAAUUCCUUGUCGGGUAAGUUCCGACCUGCACGAAUGGCGUAAUGAUGGCCAGGCUGUCUCCACCCGAGACUCAGUGAAAUUGAACUCGCUGUGAAGAUGCAGUGUACCCGCGGCAAGACGGAAAGACCCCGUGAACCUUUACUAUAGCUUGACACUGAACAUUGAGCCUUGAUGUGUAGGAUAGGUGGGAGGCUUUGAAGUGUGGACGCCAGUCUGCAUGGAGCCGACCUUGAAAUACCACCCUUUAAUGUUUGAUGUUCUAACGUUGACCCGUAAUCCGGGUUGCGGACAGUGUCUGGUGGGUAGUUUGACUGGGGCGGUCUCCUCCUAAAGAGUAACGGAGGAGCACGAAGGUUGGCUAAUCCUGGUCGGACAUCAGGAGGUUAGUGCAAUGGCAUAAGCCAGCUUGACUGCGAGCGUGACGGCGCGAGCAGGUGCGAAAGCAGGUCAUAGUGAUCCGGUGGUUCUGAAUGGAAGGGCCAUCGCUCAACGGAUAAAAGGUACUCCGGGGAUAACAGGCUGAUACCGCCCAAGAGUUCAUAUCGACGGCGGUGUUUGGCACCUCGAUGUCGGCUCAUCACAUCCUGGGGCUGAAGUAGGUCCCAAGGGUAUGGCUGUUCGCCAUUUAAAGUGGUACGCGAGCUGGGUUUAGAACGUCGUGAGACAGUUCGGUCCCUAUCUGCCGUGGGCGCUGGAGAACUGAGGGGGGCUGCUCCUAGUACGAGAGGACCGGAGUGGACGCAUCACUGGUGUUCGGGUUGUCAUGCCAAUGGCACUGCCCGGUAGCUAAAUGCGGAAGAGAUAAGUGCUGAAAGCAUCUAAGCACGAAACUUGCCCCGAGAUGAGUUCUCCCUGAC